GGAGAGUUGGCUGAGUGGUCUAAAGCGCACGAUUGGAAAUCGUGUAAGUGUGAUGAGCGCUUCUGGGGUUCAAAUCCCCAACUCUCCGCCA
This 91-nucleotide transfer RNA is filed under the name Clostridia bacterium. RNAcentral's name for it is "tRNA-Ser". It matches the Rfam family "tRNA". From Rfam's summary of the family: Transfer RNA (tRNA) molecules are approximately 80 nucleotides in length. Their secondary structure includes four short double-helical elements and three loops (D, anti-codon, and T loops). The record is from RNAcentral. Lineage: Bacteria; Bacillati; Bacillota; Clostridia.